UGUGUUUUAUGGAGAGAUCCCAAAGAGUU
This 29-nucleotide non-coding RNA is filed under the name Rattus norvegicus (Norway rat). The record is from RNAcentral. Lineage: Eukaryota; Metazoa; Chordata; Mammalia; Rodentia; Muridae.